This 5125-nucleotide long non-coding RNA is filed under the name Setaria italica (foxtail millet). RNAcentral describes it as "long non-coding RNA (SITA_LNC005204)". The record is from RNAcentral. Lineage: Eukaryota; Viridiplantae; Streptophyta; Magnoliopsida; Poales; Poaceae.
UGCAGUCCCCCCUCUUUCGGUCUCUUUCUCUUGGCCUCUCCUCCCUCCCGCCGCCCUCUCCUCCCUCAUUCUCUCUCCCUCUCCCGCCGCCCUGUCCUCCCUCUAUCUCUCGCUGCCCUCUCCUCUCCCCUCCGCUCGCCCCUCACUGGAAUAGAUCCGCUGGUGAGGGGCGACGGCGGGGCAAGGAGCGGCGGCUGUGGCCAGCAGGGCCAGGAGGCGCAAUGCCCCACGAGGCACGGGGAGCAACGGCGUGUCGGCGUGCGGCGAAGGGGAGCGGCGGCGAGUGGCGACACGGGCGCGCGGGGAUCUGGCGGUGCGCGGCGAGGUAAGCCUCGGUCCUCCUCUCCCCUUCCCUCUUCAUCUCCUUCCUCUCCCUUCCCUAGGCGACGGCGGCCGCAACUCCUGCACUCGCCCUGAGACGCGGACGAGGCGUGGCCAGCAGGAUGCCGCCGAAUUUUUUUUAUUUUUUUAAUAGGCAUCACCGCCGUUCUUAGUCCGGCGGUGAUGCCGGAUUUGAGGCCGGCGGUGAUGAGGGAUCGUGUAGUAGUGUGUCGAUCCGGCCCCUUUGCAGGCCUAGAUAGUGUCGCCAGCGAGUGGCAAUCUCUGGCUAGUGUCGCUCCGAUCGGAUGUCAUUCCGGCCCCUCUACACAAACAGCAGUGAAAUCGGCCGGAUGUUGCUUCAGAUGGCCUGAUGGCUGUUCUCCUAAGCAAUCGGUCCAGGCGUGUUCAGAUUGAUCAAGUCUUCAGCUCUAGCUGGCUCAUGACCAGUCUCUCGUUGCCGAUAGUUUGCUUCUAGUUCUAGGAACAUUUAUUCAUCAUAUAUCUUUCUAGCAUUGUAUUGAGCAAAAGUAUAUUGACAAUUUAUACAUGUAUCUUAAAACGUUGAAAGCUCCAUAUUAAUAAGCGAGCAUAAAUAAGAAAAGCCACGCAUAAAACCGUUACAAAUCUCAUUGUACAUUGUCGUACAUUAAGGCAAUGAAUCGCCCAUGACGUGUUCCCUACUAGGUUUCGGAGUUCCGGUGGACUUGGAAGCAAUGAGAUCGAUGAGGUCAAAGCCCCUGCUAGGAGGCUGAGCUCGAGCUGGCGCUAGCAGAUCCUCAUCAUCAUUGAUGUCACAUGCAUUGCCGUCUUUUGCAGAUUUAUCUGGCACACCCACACCCUCAAGAUGCCAAAUGCCACAACGCUCCUUCUUUGCAUGCUCCUGGAACUCUUCUAGAUUUUUCACAGCAGCCCUACGCUCCCGUGAGAUCAAUCUAUGUGUCUCGAUUUGAGCCAAGCCAUUCUGUAGAUAAGCAAAUAGGUAACGGUUAGUAUUAGUAAAGAAUUACAUAGUAGGCUAGUAUAUUGUAAAUUCAUUAUAUAUGGAGAGAUAGCUAAUAAUUGGAGGUGAUAUGUUAUUCCGACCAUUGUGGUAGUUAAAUGCAUACCUCCAGCAUUGCAGCAUUGAUGCUGCUCUCAGCAUCCUCAUCAAACAAAGUCACAACAAGUACUUCUCCAGUACCUUGUCCUUCUUGCUUAGAUUCCACAGUGGCACGCUCUUCAAUUGUUGCUUUGAACUCUUUCUCAUUAUCAAGCAAAACCAUGCUUAGAUACCUUGCAGCUUGUUCACCAAGGUUAUCUUUUAGGUUAGGAACUGCGAUGAAUGCAAGGAGGAAUAACUUCGCAAGUGGAGGAAUCAAGGAGGUAGAUUGAUUUGCAUGUGCAGGUCUCAAGCGACUGUAAGUAACUAUUUCUUGGUUUCCAUAGUCUAUAUAAAAUACUAGAAACUCUCUCUCCAUGGGUCCUUGAUGUUCACUCACAAUCUACAAAAACAAGAAAACAUGAGUAUGAUUAUUAGGGGAAAAUAAAAAUAACAGAUAAUUUAUUAAUGUUUUGCUAUACGUGUAAAACAAAAGGAUAUAAGAAUUAUUUUUUUCUGUUCUUAUAAAUGUAAAAAAAAUUGAUUUCACCAUACCAUAGCUCGAUUCCAUGAAUUGUCGAGAGUGAAUUGGGCUAGUACCACAUCUCCCUUGGUUGGAUUAAAUGGAACAGCAUCAGAUGGACCAUUAGAUGACAAAUCUUCAGCUUUCGAAGUAUCUAAUGGAACUUCAUCUUUCAAAAUAUCUACUUUGUCUUUAAACAAACUAGACCACCUAGAAGGAAGAGGAACCACAUGAUUCUUUGGCUCAGCUUGAACUUCUGAUGUGUUCGAUGGACAAUGCCUUGGUUGAUCUUGAACUUCCAAGGUAUUUGAUAAAGUAUCUGGGAAAUCUUUAGUAACCAUCAAAGUUUCUGGUAUAUCAUUAAAUUUCAUAGAAGCAAGCUAUUGUUGAAUGCUGUCCAAGCGACGAUCACCAACUAUAUGGGCAUAGAACUUUCCACCACCAAUGACUUCAGUUACAACAAUCUUAAAAAGUGAACAAAAUUAAUUAGAGCAUUUUGUAUUGUGUGUGCCUCAAAGUUUAACAACAAACAUUUUCUAGAGUAGACAAACCUUGAAAGAUUCUUUUCCAUUUUGUCCCAUCAACGAUCCAUGGGGAAUCACUUUUGCUUCAUUGUAGUUCUCCCACACCUAGAAAAUAGAAAUAGAAUUGUUAUAAUUAUCUUAACAUUUUCCUUAUUUUCUACUAUAAAGAAAAAUUAAAUCACCUUCAAUUUCUUCUGUUGUGCGGACUUUUCUGCCCUUAUGAGGGUUUGAGCAUCUGAGAUUCUAUCAAGUCCAAAUGAACUAAGCUUGGCUAGGCCGGCUUCGAGAAGAACGUAAGCCAUAUUGUUUUUGGACUCCCAUAAGGAACCUAAGAAUGUCCCGGUCCUAUCCACAGCUUCAAUCUCAAUCUACAUAAACAUUAAUCUUUUAGAAAAUUGUAAAGAGCUUAAAAUUGAAAAAAUGAAUAGAAAACAGCAAACCUCAACAUCAUGUUGGAGUAUCGUUCUCCUCAUUAGAGCAAUGGCACCAUCCGAGUAGGGCUCAUUUUUACCAGGGCACCGAACACAGGAGAAUGAAAAGGUAAUGGUGCUUGUCUCAUUAGGUAUUGUUAGUUUGAAGCGAUGCCCACUAAAAAUGUACUCAACAACAGCGGAAUGCCUUUUGUUUCGUUGUAACAAGUGGAAAAAAAUCUCUAGCCUUCUUUGCAGGAACCUGAAAUAUGAUAAGUUGAAAUAAAAAAUUAAAUAGGGGAAAGAAAGAAUGGCUACACAAAUGACUUCUUGAGUGAAAAUAAAUCCUUACUGUUGUCAAAUCAUUCAUAUGAGUCGCAGGAUAAUACUUUUUAGCAUGAUAUCCUUUCUUUGCUUUUUCAGCACGCGAAUAUGCUGCCAAUAGUGCAUCAUAGUGCUGUGACCUCUCCUCAUAGUCUCGAUGUCUUGUGAUAUCAGCAAAUCCUCGUGAAAGCAAGAGCUCAGCGACAUUGGCUCCAAAUAGGUUGCCGGAGCUACCACUCUGGGAGGGUAGAAAAACGGAUCCAUAAUUCAAAACUCUGGUGUCAACUAUGUUGGUUUUAUCUGCAGCAUGUCCAUUUGAAAUAUUGAUUCUCCUAGAAUACUCCAUUGAGACAUGAACCUGAACAUUGUAAAAAAUCAAAUGCUAAGAUCAAUUGAAUUUCUAUGUCCUUUAUCAAUUUAUGAACAGAAACUAUAAUAGUUCACUAAGAACCUGUUUUCCAAUUAGCCGUGUACGCAAGAAUUCCUUAGCUGCACGAGCAAAAUGUUCAAUAGUUUUGCUUUCUCCAGAAGAAUCAACCAACUUAGGAGGUCUGAUGCUAGAAAUAUUUACACGGCGCUCUGCCAAAGGACUUCCAACAGGCACCAUAUCAUCAGCAAUAACUAUACAGUAACCAUUCACCACCUCUAUGACCUGAAAUGAUAUCAAUUAGUUAAAACCAUGUGUAUAGAUGAUAUGCAUAGUUGUAUUGCAUGGCCAACUAGACAGAUGCUAUCUGCAAUUAAACAUGUAUAACAACUAACAUGAGUCUUAGAAAAAGAUUAUAUAAUCUGUUAACCACAAUUGUUGAUAAUAGAGACAAAUUAAAUCUUCGAUUCAUUUGUACCACCAGAAGUUAAAAUGCCAAUAAAAACUCACUGUUUUGGUUACACAUUACACCCCGUACCGUUACAAAUUGAUGCACUAGACCAAGGUUACAGCAGUCAGUCAGUUCGCUACCCCCACUGUUGCCCAGUUUCGGUGCUAUCGAUAGCCACAGUUCAGCACACACAGUAGGAUCAAUUUUCCACACAUACAACAUAACAUAAAUGACACGGCUGACACUGCUAGCUUCUCAGUGCUCAAUUAGUAAAAUUACCCAGCACUAAAUCGAUCUAUUAACAUACAAAUCUUGGUGCCCAAAUUGUUGUGCAGUCAUCAUCACAGUGACUUCUCAACAGCUUUCACAAGCAUCAUCCAGUCACCUAGACUAUGAUAAAAUGUGAUAGAAGGCCAAAGAUUGGAAUUUGCUUCUUUAUACAUAAAUGAAAUCUUUCAGAGGUAUUAAACUAGAAAAAACACUCCUUUACUCCCUUCAUGUGUAUUUUCACAAAAGAAAAGUCUUGAUGAGAAGAUUUUGACCUUUAAUUUCUCUUACGAUAUAGUCAAUUGUUACAAAAUAUUAAAAUAUUCAGACUGCAGAUCUAUUAACGAAAUGUCUCACACUAAAAACAUAUAGAAUUUUUGACUUAUUGUUUGUCAAACUUAUAAUGUCGAGUAUAUUGUAUCAAAGUACGCUUUAUAUUAUUGGAUGGUAUUCUUGUUUCUAAGUGCAUAAACCUUGUAUGGAACCAAUGUUCCAAUUCUGAUGCAAAUAUGUUAAUGCUACCUUUAAUUUAAAAAUACAAAAAGAACUGAAUACACCAGUGCUACUUUUUAUAAAACAAGGCAAACGGAACUAACUUUUCCUGUGAAUUUCUGAUUGUGUAUUGGUGCUGUAUUUGUAACAGGUGGCUGAAAUCCCGUCCAUAUCCUUAGCUAUUCCUUCUUAGCCUGAAGUUCAGCAUUCUUGAGCUUUCUUUUGGUUUCAGCUCCAAGCAUGUUUGCGCUCCAUUCCAUAUACUUUGCCAACCCCUAUAAGAAAGCUGACAAUAACUGCUCAUGAGUAAAAAUUCAGAAAUAUUGCUGUAAUUUAAUUGUUCAAAGGAUAUGUUAUAUGUAUUCUGU